RNAcentral lists this ribosomal RNA (492 nucleotides) under uncultured bacterium. RNAcentral describes it as "partial 16S ribosomal RNA". It matches the Rfam family "Bacterial small subunit ribosomal RNA", at positions 29 to 507 of the family's 1533-position model. The record is from RNAcentral.
AGUGAACGCUGGCGGCAGGCCUAACACAUGCAAGUCGAACGGCAGCACAGUAAGAUUUUGCUCUUACGGGUGGCGAGUGGCGGACGGGUGAGGCAUACAUCGGAAUCUACUUUUUCGUGGGUGAUAACGUAGGGCAACUUACGCUAAUACCGCAUAUGUUCUACCGGUGAAAUCAGUGGUUCUUCGCACCUUUCGUGUCUGUAUUAGCUGAUUUCGGAUUAGCUAGUUGGCUGGGUAAAGGCCCACCAAGGCGACGAUCCGUAGCUGGUCUGAGAGGAUGAUCGGCCACACUGGAACUGAGACACGGUCCAGACUCCUACGGGAGGCAGCAGUAGGGAAUAUUGGGCAAUGGGCGAAAGCCUGAUCCAGCCAUACCGCGUGGGUGAAGAAGGCCUUCGGGUUGUAAAGCCCUUUUGUUGGGGAAGAAAAGCAGCAGAUUAAUACACCGCUGUUCUGACGGUACCCAAAGAAUAAGCACCGGCUAACUACGUG